UAACACGUGGGUAACCUGCCUUAUAGUGGGGGAUAGCCUUUCGAAAGGAAGAUUAAUACCGCAUAAGAUUGUAGUAUCGCAUGAUAUAGCAAUUAAAGGAGCAAUUCGCUAUAAGAUGGACCCGCGUCGCAUUAGCUAGUUGGUGAGGUAAUGGCUCACCAAGGCGACGAUGCGUAGCCGACCUGAGAGGGUGAUCGGCCACAUUGGGACUGAGACACGGCCAGACUCCUACGGGAGGCAGCAUG
This 245-nucleotide ribosomal RNA is filed under the name uncultured bacterium. RNAcentral's name for it is "partial 16S ribosomal RNA". It matches the Rfam family "Bacterial small subunit ribosomal RNA", at positions 111 to 353 of the family's 1533-position model. The record is from RNAcentral.